AAGACGGAAGGUGCAAGCGUUGCUCGGAAUCACUGGGCGUAAAGGGUGCGUAGGCGGCUUCUUAAGUCUGGUGUGAAAGCCCAGGGCUCAGCUCUGGAAGUGCACUAGAAACUGGGAAGCUUGAGUACCGGAGGGGAGAGUGGAAUUCCUGGUGUAGCGGUGAAAUGCGUAGAUAUCAGGAGGAAUACCGGUGGCGAAAGCGACUCUCUGGACUGGAACUGACGCUGAGGAGCGAAAGCGUGGGUAGCAAACAGGA
Molecule: ribosomal RNA, 256 nt
Filed under: uncultured prokaryote
Description: partial 16S ribosomal RNA
Rfam family: Bacterial small subunit ribosomal RNA
Source: RNAcentral